This is a long non-coding RNA of Neofelis nebulosa (Clouded leopard), 4071 nucleotides long. RefSeq lists it as uncharacterized. The transcript has 2 exons. The record is from RefSeq and is a predicted model, not a curated record. NCBI's taxonomy places the organism in Eukaryota, Metazoa, Chordata, Mammalia, Carnivora, Felidae.
AAAAGAUUGGGCAUUGAGAUGAGGUAGGAGGAAUAGGAAAGCACUCUAGGUCGAAAAUUUUACAAAAAUUUUUAAUUUUUAUAGAUUGAUCUCUUUCAAUCUACAGCAAAAACCCUGACUGAUAGGAUAAUAAAUAUUAAGAGCUAAAAACCAAGAAUUUAGCAUGAGCAAGGCACUAUUGUAAACAUAACUGUUAACAUUGAAUCCUCACAGUCCUGAAAUAGGUACUGCUGUAUUUCUUUGAAUCUAAAAUGCAUUAAUGGUAAGAUGUACAUUUUAUGUAACUUGAAGAAAGGAAAAAAAAAUGCUGCCAAUUAAAUUAAUGACCUAAUGCUUUCUAAAGAACUCAAUUUAGAAUGUUUAUACUUACAUAAAGAGCUCUUUUAGGCAUUUGAUUUCAACAAAUCUAAGACUCCAUCAAUUUGUAAGACACACUAUUUUGUAUACCACCAAGAACGAAAAACACAGCUUAAUUAAUUGUGUGACACAUCCUGACUUGAGAUGGUGAAAUAUGAAACGAUAGUGUAGAAUUGAUGUAAUGUGGUAUUGAGAUAAAUUUUUAUAUCAUUCUAUGCUCCUAUAAAAAGAUAAACAUAAUUGAAAUUAACUGGGUAAGGCAUCCUAAAGCUUCACGACAGUCAGGACAAUGAUUUAUGAACCAAAAUAUUGAAAGGCUGCAGUUGUCCAUUUGUGCCACCAGAAACAGCCACCAAGUCCACAUUUGCACAGGCAGUGACAACUGCAUCGUGACUGUGGCCUGGCCAAAAGCUAUUUUAAGACUAAAGAGUUCAGAGAUGUUAAAGUGUGGGCUCUAGAGUCAAUUAGGUGCGUUACCAUCAUCCCCCUUUCGUAUGAUACGAGCAAGAAACAGAUCCAAACACAUUAGUCACAUGAAGAGGAAAUAGGUAAACAAGGAUUCAUACUAGGGCCAGGUGGGCUUCAGAGGUCACAUUCUUAACUUUUAGGCCACAUAGCCUCCAUGGGCUCCGUCUGGGUGAUCAGACUACUUUUAACAUUUUUUGGAAAAGACAGUUUCUUUACAAUUUGUGAAACUGCUUUUCUUGGAGGUUUUUCUCCUCAAUGAUGGACAGCAGGCUAAGUUUCUCCCCGUGUGUUUAAUUCCUCUUGGGUAUUUCAUCCAUGUUACUCACAUAUUUUGCUGGUUUGGGCAUAAAAACUUCAAUCGUUUCAGUUUGUUUGAAAUCAGCUGUUCAUGCUAAUGCUGGUUUCUUUCAGUGGAUUCCAGGGUCUGGGUAUCAAGUCUGUUCUACUGUCCAUUAUGAAUUGUGAAUUGUACGCUGCUCAUCUGAGCGCUGCUCAAAGCAGUUGCAGCAGACCUCAGAGAACGUGGCUCCCCAGGACUACCUGGGUAAGGGGCCCACGGGGAAAGGAUGUAAGGACGCAAAGGCAACUGUCAAUGACUAUCACAUUGACUUUAUGUCAGGUUGCAGGGGGAGCAUGUGCUGGGCGUGCUGGUGACUCCCAGCUGAGAGCUGUUGAGGCUUGCCUCUGGACAGGAUAGACUUGGGGAGUCAGGACAACCACAGAGGAAGUAUAAUUUCGGGACCUGUUGGGAAUUGGCUUCAGAAGUGGAAAUGGAUGGUUGGAGGAAAUCCGUGAACAGACCAGAGCAGGCAAAUGAAAGGCCUUGUAAACAGGGAAAUGUGCAUUUUAAUUAUUUUGUUUUGUUUUGUUUUUUCGUGUUAACUCUUAAUUCCAUAGAACUAAAGCCACUUUCCAUGCUCUCAACCAUAUAACCAAGGAGAGGGAAGUACAUUAAACCAUGUGAUUUUUAAAAGGGAAAUUUCUUACCUCCCGGAGGUAGAUAAUGCAGGGACUAUCAAGUGGUGGUUUUGCUUUUUACUGCAGAAAAAUGUCCCUUCUCCCAGGUUUCUGCUAAGCACUCUAAGUUAUUUUUACUGUGAGAAGAGACUGUCACACCACCUCUUGGUAUCAUGACUUCUCUUGGCCCCUCAAACAGUCGAUUCUAGGUUAAGCCCAUAUGGUAUGAAUCUGUGGUGAAGAUGGUCUCCAAAGCCCAGUAACUUCUCAUUUUUCCCAGAGCCCUGUGGUCCUGCUCCUGACUGCUGCUCUGUGUUCCUAAAGAAAAACAGUAGAGUCCAAUCUCUGUUUUGAAGUUUCGGUGGUUGGUUGACCAGAUGCUGUGAUGCUGUGCUUCAGGGUCCCCGCCAACACAGAAGAGACAGCAACUUUUUCCAUGUUCCUGACAGAUUGGAAGGUGUUUUUUCACAUUCUCUGCUUCAGAUCUCUCCCUGGAAAGUGUUGCUAUGGAAGAGCAUAUGGUUUUAUUUGGUGGAAAUGUGCAGAGAAAUUGAAGGAAGUCAUACGCAUGCACGGCAAAUACUGGAAUUAAGGAGGGCUCCUGAGGAUAACUGGGAUACUGGUCCACCUGCUUGGGUGGUAACCCGGGAAGCAAGGGAAAGAGUCAGGCAGCCAGAAGUUUAAACCGAUCUGCCACUUGCUUGCCAGGUGACUUUGGGCAAGUUACUGGGCCCUGACUGACCUUUUUUUCUUCCCUGUCUCUGAAACAGAGAACAUUACCCUUACUGUGCAUUGCUCUUGCUGAGAGACAACAAGGUAACAGGUCAUGAGCACCAUAGUAACUGCUCAGUAAAUGGUAGCCACCGUUAGGGAGUGGUAAGGCACUCACAUUUAUGCCCCAAGGAUAUGGGUUCAGUCAUCAAGCUAUCUUUUGGCCUUUGAAGUUUGGAGCGCUUUGGGGAAGCCAGGGGUGUUCCGUGCUGGCCAAACUUGGUUUUGUGUACAUUUGUCAUCAGACUGGACAAUUGCUGAAAAGUGUAUACCUCAGCUGUCAAGGGAAUUAAAAGGUCACCCCCUGCAAGCAGUAAGGUCUUCCUGAGUCUCAGCAAGUUGACAACACUGUCACGUGGAACAGUGCAGCCUUCUCAACAUGUGGUUUUGAACCCCACCCCCCACCUUUAUGUUGUCAGCGCUGGUCAGCAUAGGCCUCAGCACCUCUGAGAGAACAGAAGACUCGUCUCCCAAGUGCUCACACCUGCUGCCUACCCUGAAUGAACCCUUUGGGAGGGAGGAUGAUUAUAAUUGUAAUGUUUUAAAAUCUUCCUUGAAAUAUUCAGGUUUAAUUCAUGUAGAUCAAAAUCUGCCAGGAAAAUGCUCCACAUACACUUUGCAUAUGCAUUCUGGAAGAUUCACAGACCUGUUGAAAGGCUGCCUGCCACACCAUACCCCCAGCCCCUUUCUCGAGUACGCGCACUAGAGGUUGGCAGAAGACAGUGAGAACCUGCUCGAACCUUUAUCAAGUUACUGGAUCUAACUGGGCCUCUUGUUUUCUGAUCUGGAAAAUGAAGAUACUGGAUUAGGUGAUUGCCAAAGUCCUUCUAGACUUAACUGGCUAUGACAGUAUAUCAUUCAUGCGUCUUGAAUAGAAUACAAGAGGUUUCUUUCAGCAUUCUGGACUGUUGAUGUUCUAGGAAACGAUGAGAAAAAAGUCUGUAUCCUCCCUCAACCUGAGUGUUCUAGUUUCUCUCAGCUCCUCGAAGGGCCUUCAAAAAGAAGCAUCUAAAAUACAGUGACUCACCCAUGCUUUUCAUGGGCAUGGGGCCUUGCCCCAAGCCGGGGACUCCACAGUUGGGCAAACUGUUCCUCACCCUGUUAGGACAUGCGUAGGGCUGAUUGAAUGGACUUUUGUCUUUGCCUCUUUCUUAACACCUUCAUUAUGACUGAAGUCACUUUUUUAAAAACAAAUAAAUGGUGGAAAAGGGAAGGGGGACCUAACCAAUUUUGUUUUUAAACUACACACCAUAAAACUGUGUCAUCAUUCUGUGUAUAAUUCAAUUGAAGUGUUUUUUUCUAACAAAAUUAAGGGACAUAUGUUCACUCAUUCAGUGUACAUAAUAGAAUGGUCAAGGUGUGUAUUUAGACAGGAAAUGUGUGAAUCUCGUUUUAUAUAUGUAUUAUUGCUAGAAUCCUAAACGUGAAAAAAGUGUCUGGCACAAAUGGGUACUGUACCAAUCACCUCAUUAGUGCAAUAAAUAUUGCCUCUCACAUUAAAGACAUUAGCAAGUUUAA